AAUGCUGGCGGGUGACACCAUGCAGUCGACGAUGAAGGAGGAGCUUGCUCCUCCGGAUUAGUGGCGAACGGGUGAGUAACACGUGAGCAAUGUGCCCUUGACUCUGGAAUAAGCGCUGGAAACGGCGUCUAAUACCGGAUACGACCUGCGGAGGCAUCUCCUGCAGGUGGAAAGAACUUCGGUCAAGGAUCAGCUCACGGCCUAUCAGCUAGUUGGUGAGGUAAUGGCUCACCAAGGCGACGACGGGUAGCCGGCCUGAGAGGGUGACCGGCCACACUGGGACUGAGACACGGCCCAGACUCCUACGGGAGGCAGCAGUGGGGAAUAUUGCACAAUGGGCGCAAGCCUGAUGCAGCAACGCCGCGUGAGGGACGACGGCCUUCGGGUUGUAAACCUCUUUUAGCAGGGAAGAAGCGAGAGUGACGGUACCUGCAGAAAAAGCACCGGCUAACUACGUGCCAGCAGCCGCGGUAAUACGUAGGGUGCAAGCGUUGUCCGGAAUUAUUGGGCGUAAAGAGCUCGUAGGCGGUUUGUCGCGUCUGCUGUGAAAUCCCGAGGCUCAACCUCGGGCUUGCAGUGGGUACGGGCAGACUAGAGUGCGGUAGGGGAGAUUGGAAUUCCUGGUGUAGCGGUGGAAUGCGCAGAUAUCACGAGGAACACCGAUGGCGAAAGCAGAUCUCUGGGCCGUAACUGACGCUGAGGAGCGAAAGCAUGGGGAGCAACAGCUUAGAUACCCUGGUAGUCCAUGCCGUAACGUUGGGACUAGAUGUGGGGACCUUUCCACGGUCCUCCGUUGUCGU
RNAcentral lists this ribosomal RNA (800 nucleotides) under bacterium SCS_30Z1_8. RNAcentral describes it as "bacterial SSU rRNA". It matches the Rfam family "Bacterial small subunit ribosomal RNA", at positions 32 to 852 of the family's 1533-position model. The record is from RNAcentral.